This 73-nucleotide transfer RNA is filed under the name Methanobacteriota archaeon. RNAcentral's name for it is "Euryarchaeota archaeon tRNA-Tyr". The stretch from base 8 to 66 matches the Rfam family "tRNA", at positions 8 to 63 of the family's 71-position model. Rfam says of the family: Transfer RNA (tRNA) molecules are approximately 80 nucleotides in length. Their secondary structure includes four short double-helical elements and three loops (D, anti-codon, and T loops). The record is from RNAcentral. Lineage: Archaea; Methanobacteriati; Methanobacteriota.
CCGCGCUUAGCUCAGUUGGCUAGAGCACCUGACUGUAGAUCAGGGGGUCCCCGGUUCAAGUCCGGACCACCUU